RNAcentral lists this transfer RNA (73 nucleotides) under Camelus bactrianus (Bactrian camel). It matches the Rfam family "tRNA". Rfam says of the family: Transfer RNA (tRNA) molecules are approximately 80 nucleotides in length. Their secondary structure includes four short double-helical elements and three loops (D, anti-codon, and T loops). Further hydrogen bonds mediate the characteristic L-shaped molecular structure. tRNAs have two regions of fundamental functional importance: the anti-codon, which is responsible for specific mRNA codon recognition, and the 3' end, to which the tRNAs corresponding amino acid is attached (by aminoacyl-tRNA synthetases). tRNAs cope with the degeneracy of the genetic code in two manners: having more than one tRNA (with a specific anti-codon) for a particular amino acid; and 'wobble' base-pairing, i.e. permitting non-standard base-pairing at the 3rd anti-codon position. The record is from Rfam by way of RNAcentral. Lineage: Eukaryota; Metazoa; Chordata; Mammalia; Artiodactyla; Camelidae. RNAcentral also lists the same sequence under 2 other names.
GAAGGUGUAGCUCAACUGGUAGAGCAUGUGCUUGUCAUGCAGGAGGUCCUGGGUUCAAUUCCUGGCACCUCCU